UACAGAGGUCUCAAGCGUUGUUCGGAAUCAUUGGGCGUAAAGAGCGUGUAGGCGGCCAGAUAAGUCCGCUGUGAAAUCUCGAGGCUCAACUUCGAGCUGUCGGUGGAAACUGUCUGGCUAGAGUCCGGAAGAGGAGAAUGGAAUUCCUGGUGUAGCGGUGAAAUGCGCAGAUAUCAGGAGGAACACCUAUUGCGAAGGCGGCUCGCUGGGACGUUACUGACGCUGGGACGCGAAAGCGUGGGGAGCAAACAGG
This 253-nucleotide ribosomal RNA is filed under the name uncultured bacterium. Its description in RNAcentral is "partial 16S ribosomal RNA". It matches the Rfam family "Bacterial small subunit ribosomal RNA", at positions 524 to 776 of the family's 1533-position model. The record is from RNAcentral.